UAAACAUCCUAGUGACCUGGUUCUAACCAUGCUUCCUCCCUAAGGUACCAUGAGAUAAGUUUUAGUUUAGUUUUCUGUCUGAUUUUUACAGCCUUGCUAAAAUAACUCCAAGCAUUAUCUUCCAAAGGCACAAAGUGACCUUUCUCUUUGUCUCAGUUAAUGACUAUUCAGCUAAUUUUCAUUCAUGACGGAGCUCCAUAAGUAUAAUAGACAUCUACAUGAACAUAGAGCUCAUUAAGAACCAUGCUAUGACUAGAUCUAUUAAGCUUCUGUGAUGUCUGGUUUAUUCUGAUGGCCUUUAUGUGGUUGGCAGAAGGUGCUGCUUGUACAUCAAGAAUAAACAUGGGCAGAAUGAUUGGCAGUAAUUAGUGUCAUGCUUCAGGGCAAGCAAGCUAAUAAUGUAUUUCUCUGUCUACUAAGACACAGUUGAGAGAAGUAACUGGACUCAAAAAAAAUUCACAUGAAGUACAUGUUGUAAUUUUCUCUAAAAUGUGUUCCUUACUGAAGUAAAGGUGGUCAAACCUUUAUAAUGGGUAAAAGAUGUCAUGUACAUGUCCUAAGUUUUAAAAAAUGCUUAUGAUAAAGAACAUUUUCUGGAGUCAUUAAAAAAGACACCAAAGAGAAAAAAAAAAAUUAAAAAUCCCUUUAUUUUAUAUUGGGAACACUGUUCCUGACCUGUCAUACCGAUUUUACAGUGAUGAUGAUGAUGAUGAUGAUGAUGAUGAUGAUGAUGAUGAUGAUGUAGUUUCUGUGAUCACAGACUGAAGGUUUCAUGUCCCAGCAAAAAGAGGUAAAUAAAAUCAUGGAAAGAAUGUAUAAUUCUUUAGCUUCUCCAAAAUUGUAUUCAAGGCUCUUACAUUUAUCUGAUCUCCCAAAUAAGCCACGAAUCUUGCAGAGAUUAGUUUAUUUAACAUCCCAACCUGUAGGGUAACAUCUUUUUGCCUCAGAAAGGAUUUAUAUUAGCUUAAACCACUCAGUUUUUGUAUCCUUUUUGUAAAGGUGAUAAUUAAUUAAGCCGACUGCAUAAACAUAUAUGCAUUUAUUAGGUAUGUAUGUGUAUAGAUAUAGAUAUAGAUAUAUAUACAAACAGAAGUUUUCCAGUUUGCCACAGAAGCAUCCAGGGCCUUGAAGAGCAAAGGCCUUCCCCUUACUUCAGGGCUGAUGUUAGCCCAGGUGGCUGUGGCAUCCUACAGUUGCAGAUGUUUAGCCAAGAGAAUCUGAAUCUGUGGGCUUAAACACUUGAACUGGGUAAUGCUUAGAACCAAGGCCCUGAAAGUUUGACCAUUGAUCCUGGCAGGCCACUGCUCGUGCAUUAGACCCCAGCUCCAGAAAUGGUAGGACUUCUGUGCAUGGAUGGAGAUAAUCUUAAGACACUUUUUGCAGAUUGAGAAAGACUUUAGCUGUGUUUACUGGAGUAGCCAGAAUUUCACAUAUCUUAUUCCUCCUUUCUGUCUUAAUUAGGUGUCUGAGAAUUUAGCAUGGUGCUGUUGUGAAUCUCAACAUAGGAAAUAAAUCUUAGGGAACCAAAUUGGCAUUAUGAGCCCCAUCUCAUGCUUCUUUGCAUCACAGCAGCCAAGUCUCAUUUUUUGUAAUCGUAAAGCUGGUUUAUAUAGAACUAAAAUGUCAAAAAUUCCUUUAGCCCCAGCCAGUGUGGAAACACAAAUGAUAAUAAAUGGUCCUUGGUCUAAAUAUAUUUACCAGAAGAUGUUCAUAUUAAACUAAUUAGAUUAAACUAAUUUUUUUUUCUGAAAAGUCAUAAAGCUUAAUAACUAUUAAUGAAAAUUUACGUAGCUGUAGUGCAGAAGAAGAAAGGAGAAGUACUUUUUUGUUAUAUAGCAACUGUCCUAAAGAGCAUGAAGGACAUGCAGAGACACUUUAAUAUUAAUAAGAAUGUUUAGUAACUGAUUUUUUUUUUGUAGCAAAUAUGGAAAAACUAAUCAAGUAAUAAUACAUUUCAUCACUGUCUAUUCCAAACAGGAGCAAUUAUAUUAGAGAGUGAAAUGUGGAAUGAAUGUAGAAAUGGGCAGCUUGAGGUUAAAUGACUGGGUCACUGUUAGUGGAUGUUUUGUUGGAUCAUUUUUGAUUUGAAAAGAAUAAGCAUUUAUUCAACGAAAUUGAUAAACAGGCAAAACUUAUAAAGCAAUAAUGUGAAUGUUGUCUCGUAUGAUCCAGAAGUCUGAUAUAUCUUAAUUUUUCAAAUGUUGAACAAUACUGAGACCAGCUUCAGGUUGAUAUAAGCUGUAGUCCACGUUUUCCUUUUUAGGCUGAUAGGCACAGUACUUUUCUGGUUUCAAGGCUUAGACAAAAUAGCUGUGAAUGCCUUUAGAAAAUACGUAUUCCUUUUGUUUAAUGUUAAACUCACAAAUGCAACUCUCCUGACUCCCACCAUGGAGAGUUAAUCAUAUCGUAAUGGUGCCUAUGAAAUUAAAGGGGUGACACCCUCCCCUUUAGUAGUGGAAGAUUUAGCACCUAGUUUGAGGUGUGUAGGAUUUCAUUAAAUAAAGGGUAUGCCUGUAAAGAGGUAGGCUUUUUAGUUGUGUGGAAAGGAAAAAGAAAGGAUUUCCCAGACACUGCCUAUUUAGUGUACAUGCAUCAGACAACAUGGUUGUGCUGUGACUGCUGGAAACAUCCAGCUGGUGAUCUGUUAAUGUGCACAAGUCCUACAGUUUUGGUGCAAACCUUUGGAAACAUUCACAGUGCUAAGUAGCUGUGUAAUAAUGGAACACAAAGACACAUUCUCCUAAAUUAACUUCUUUCUAAAAAUAGAAAAAUAAAUCCAUAAAAUCUAAUUUCAUGUUUCUUUUUCUUGUGUACAGGACAAGUGCUUAUUUAAAAGCUUUCACAUUUUCCACAAUUGCAUUUCCCUUCUAUUUCUGAUUUUGGAUUUUACAUCUGACUUCUGAAAGAGAGUGUCAGAACCUUCCAAACUAAGAAUUCUUCUUCAUAAGGAAAUUCAAAGCAUGCAUUUCAAAUGCCUGCAAAGCAUAGUCCUUUUUUUUUUUAUAUCAGCUUUACUUUGUACUCUAUAGCUUGAAAAGUUCCAUACCUCCUCUAGGCUGUAAUGAUUAAUUAUCUACAAACUGCAGCUCAGUACAGACCUGAAGCUGAAGCUGUGCAACCAAGAGAGGGAACACUCACACCACAAGUUCACCCUGAGGUGGGAAAAGAGGGAGGAACCUCAGUGGAGGAACAGUAACGACCUCAAAAGCUAUUACCAGAAAGACCAGUUCCUGUUCACAGGAUGCUGGGUAUUCUGUGACAGCAGCUCAAACUGUUAAAUCAAACCCAGAGGUUGCCUUCAUUCAGAGGUAUCCCCAGCUGAUGUGUUUUGUUGAUCACUGUAUUCCAAACAGCAGCUGCUUGGGAGAAUUCUCGGUAGUUUUUUAUCUCCCAUCCAUCUUGAGUGUGCUGGACUUUAAAGCGUCGGUAAAGGCCGAAAAAAUAACUAUAAGGUCUUCUGACAGGUGUUGAAAAGUAGCCAAGAUGGCUACUGGAAAGAUUUUAUACUUUAAUGCUCUUUGAGACUCCUUAUUUUCUUCUAGAAAGAGAACCCAGAAUCUCAAGGUUUGCACUUUCAUGCUUGUAGAAUUCUCUCACAUGAAAAAUGCCUGUAACUCUGGCAGUGCUCCAAAAAACAUAUUAAAAGGAAAUUAUUUCCACCCCAAAGGCUAAACUACUGCAAAUAUGCUCGCAAGGAAAUUGGUCGUAGGAGUCACUGCAUAAUCUAGCAGAAUAAUACCAGAUAAUGCAGUUGAUUCUUUCUUUAAGCAAUAACUAUGUUAAGGUUUACGUGGGAUGGAAAAUGUAGAUCAGAUUUCUUGCCUAUCAACUUUUACAAUAACCUUUCAAGAUUAAAUGGUUACUUUUGGCCAAAGCAAUGUGACAUUGAGGUUAGUUUCAUCCCUUGCUAGGGCAAAUCCUUAAUGGUUUAUGUCAUGAACUAAGGAAAGGUAAUUUAAAAGAUUCAAAGGCAGGUUCUAGAAAGCUGCAUUAUCACUCAGACAUCCACCUUAUAACAAGAUUGACUUGUGUGGUUUUAAAUGCUCACGUUACAGUACGUAGUUUCAAAGCAUAGAUUAAUGAUUUCAGACUGCCAAACUUAAUUAAAGGUUGGAAUAAAUGUUCUCCAUUAAAACUCAUCAAUGCAUUUGACUGAGAUGGAAGAAUUUCAGUCAUAUCUUUUUUAAUUGCCUGUAGAAAGAAUUGAAGAGUUAGCAAAGUUAAAACUGUUGAAACACAUAAAUGGUGUCUAAAUAUUAUGCAGGAUCUUAAUCAUAUUAAAAGAGGAAGUAAAUUCAUUUUGUAGCAUAAUUUUAACCUGAAGAGCCUCGUAAGUGAAACUGAAGUAACAUGAGUAGAUGUCAAUGGCAUGUGGAUAUGUUUUUGCUUGUGUAUCUCAGGAGCUUCUGUAAGCACUAAUUAUUGCAGUGCACUGAGGACUCCUGUCCCAUACAAGUGGAAUAGAUGCUGAUAGUCCCAUGUUUUCAAUGAAUAUGCUCACUGAUAAAAUUUCUUACACCACUAAAAUGAAGUCCAUAUUAGCUCCACCAGCUCAAGUUUACUCAGCAGCUUGCAGGAGCAGUUCAGCUCUCCAGUUUACAUAAUGUUUAAACCUUUGUGUCUUUAUAAUUUUCUGUGCUGUUGCUCUUAAACAGCAUGAGAGAAUAACCAAGUCUGGAAUGAUACCCUCCCCUCCUGUGUUCUUCCAUUAUGAUUUAUCCUUUCCUUAAUCAGUGGUUUUUUUGUAAACUGUUAACUGAUCAAAAUAAUACACUGCUCAAGGAGAAAAAUUGAUGUGAUUUGGGGGCUUCAUUCAUAUUAGCACAUUUCACAGGUAGUGCAGCUUUUUCACUGGUUUCCUAUGAAGGGAAUGAAACAUGGAAUUGACAGCCACCUGUAAAUUCUGAAGUUAAAUACUAAUCUGCAGAUGAUUCUGACAUAUUACUCAGGUAAGCUUAUAACCUGGGUUUAUUGUGGAACCUCAUGGUUUCAAUGACUUUUACACAGUUUCUGUUUGGAAAUCCAGACAACAGUGGUGCUCCAGAUCACAGAGAACAAGUAAAGUGGCAGAGGCAUUGCUGGGGACAACCUGUUGUGCCAGGGAGGAGCAUCAGGGCCUGACUCUGCAGGAAAGGACUGCUGGCUCAGCAGGACCCUGCUGAUCUCACUGCUGCUCUGCAGGGCCCGUCAGGUCAAGCUGCUCUCAUGACAGAUGGCUAAUUCUUUUCAACAGAUUUGAAACAGCAAUACUGUGGUAGAUUAUUUUUUGUAGUACUAUAUAGAACCUUUUGCAAUGCACGCAACAUUUUUUAUGAAUUGCAUAGUUGUUUGGUUUUUUCCCAAGGAUGUUUGUGGGGCUAGAAGGAGCUUGCAAUAAAGCAAUUGUUGUGCUGGUUUUUUCUCAUCCAAAUGAUUACAGUAAUGAAGAAUUCAGCACAAUGUUAUGGAAAGGAAUUUAAAAAUAUGGCGCUCUGUACUUAAAACAUUAUGAAUCUAUUAAACUCAUUAGUAUGCAUAAUUUUGCAAUUUUUAGUCCAAAAAAUUGGAAAGUCAGUAUUUCAUGUAACUUGCAGUAAACAGAAGUGAUCAGUACAACAUGUUGCAAUAUUCAUUUCAGUUCUGGAACAAGAAGCUGGACAAACUUCAUGCAACAGCAAGCCAAAUGCAAUUUUGAACCGAUACACUUUGGUUGAAAUACUUUAUUAGCUAAGAUUUAUAUAUAUCCAUGUGCUGUUGAUUCAUCUUUUAUAGAAAUACUAUAGAAGAAAAAUAUAUUUGACAUCUUGGUAGGGAAAAAGAUUCUUCCAAUUUAUUAGCUGUUCUUCCACGUCUGAAUAUAAUCUUCAAAUGGCUUCUCUGGAGUACAUGCUCGGCUCACAUUUUUCAUUGGUUAGUUUCCUCUGAAAAUCAUUGAAAUUGCAUCAGUAAUGAAUCAAACCAAUCUUAUACAAGAUGAUUAUACUUUCCUGCGGUAACUGCAUUUUCUUGGAAAAAUUUUGCAAAUAAUAUGUGUAAACUCAAGAGAAAAACUGUUCUGAAUGCACACAGACAUCAAGAAAAAACUUUUUAAAAUGCUUAAUUGUUAUGAUGAUUUCUCUGAAAAGCAAAAUGCAAAAAAGAAUGAAAAUGAGCAAGUGAGAAAAAACAAGAAGUUUGUUACCCUCAUGGGAAUGUAUUCUCUGUCAUUGUGGAGUCUUGGCUUGCAGACAGCUUGGUUUUCCUUGAAGCAUUUUUACUAUUUUCCUGCUGUAUUCAUGCAUCCUAGCCUAGUGUUAAAAUUAAGGGUUGCAGCAAUCCCCAGUAUGAACACAGGCUGGGGGAUGGACAGAUCUAGAGCAGCCAUGUUGAGAAGGAUUUGGGGGUGCUGAUGGAUAAGAGGCUGGACAUGACCCAGCCUGGGCACUCACAGCCCAGAGAGCCAAACGUGUCCUGGGCUGCCUCCAGAGCAGUGUGGGCAGCAGGACAGGGAGGAGAUUCUGCCCCUCUGCUCUGCUCUGCUCUGCUCUGCUCUCCUCUGGUGAGGGAUGGAGCAGCUCUCAUAUGAAGAAUUGGGAUUGUUCAGCCUGGAGAAGACACCAGGGGUAACCUAAUUGCAGCCUUCCAGUCCCUAAAGCAACCUACAAGAAAGGUGGAGGGGGACUUUUUACAAGGGCACGUAGUGGCAGGACAAUGGUUAAUGGCUUUAAACAAAAAGAGAAUAGGUUUAGAUUAGAUGUUAAGAAGAGAUUCUUUACUGUGGGGGUGGUGAGACGCUGGAAAAGGUUGCCCAGAGAAGUUGUGGAUGCCCCAUCCCUGGAAGUGCCCAAGGCCAGGUUGGAUGUAGCUCUGAGUAAUCUGGUCUAGUGAAGGCUGUCCCUGUCCAUGGCAGGGAGUUUGGAGCUAGAUGAUCUUGUCCCUUCCAGCCAUAACUAUUCUGUGAUGGCGUAAUUUAAACAUUGGUAUAAGAAGCAAUUGGGUCUUUCCAAGAGUAAUCUGAGAUCCCAGUCUCCUCUAGUCUAUGCUGAGCCAGAUGCAGUGGAAACAAAAUGAACAUGAAUGACUGCUUAUGCAUCUUCUUUCUUAUUAUUCACACCCACAACCACAUUAUCAGAAUGGCGUGCAAGUUUUAAAAGUCACAAGUGGGAAUCUCUUCUGUUCUUUGUAGGUACAUUUGAUUUUAUUUUUAUAUUUGACUUUAAAAUAAAGAAAUCAAAAUAGAUCCGUAAUAGGAGCUUUGAAUUUUGUACUGAAACUGGGGAAGUGUGUAGGUGUUAAUGCCUCUUCCUCCUGGUAAUCACAACAGUCAUUGUAGCAGCAGAACAAAGCUGUCAGUUUAGGUCCUUGUUCCAAAGAAAGAUUCGGGUGGCUUGGGUCAUGCUCAGAAAGUGUUUUGGAGGCCAGUGUCUUAGAUUUCACUCUUGUGUUCAGCAGGAGAUCAGUGCCUACAGGGGUUAUAUGUUGUUUGCUUUAUGGAAGGAAAGAGUCUCAGGGGAGAGAUUUCAAGUGGAACCAAAGUGUAAAUUUCUGUCCUUACAUGGAUUUUUUUCGAUUGGUUUGUUUGUUUGUUUUAAUUCCUCUGGCCCUCAGUUGCUUCUCCAUUAAGAUUUCUACCUUGCAGGGAUAGUAUGGGAAUUAAAUGCAUUGUAUGAGCAUUCAUUUGGACAGUGAGCAAGUUUCUGCACACUCAGGUGGAAAGAAAAGGCACACAGCCUGCAGCUAAAAAAAAAAAAUAUCCCCUGUGACCAGUUAUUUCAACACAGCACCAUGGCUUAUGACCCAGCUGGUCUGUUCCUACAUCUCUACAACAAUACUCUUGCAGUCCUGACAGGAAUUUAUUUCUUACUUACCUAGUGAGAAAUCCCAAGAAAGCUCAAGAUGUUGCAUAGUAAUUACAUUUUCCUCAGUGGUAUUGCUGAAUGACAUAUUGUGAUAUAUCAAGAAGCAACUGUGAAUUUAACUUCACUCAUCACAGUACUUUGCCCAGUACAGUAGGUUUCCAGAUGAACAUAGUGAAUGUAAAAAUAAAGGGAAGUUUCUGAAUACCACACAGCAUCAUGCAUACUUUGUCAGCAUUAGCUUUCAAAGCACAUACAGUUCUCUGCUGGCUUGGGAAAUCUUCAUGUAUUCAUUAUGUAUUUAGUUUAUGUAUGCACUCUAAUAUUUAAGAAUAUAUUGUUUGCAGAUGGUUUCACAGGAGAAGACAAUAAUGAUAGUCAUUUGUCAGAAGAAUCAGACAUCAAACAUGAAGCUUUUUCAUUCUGUUUAGUGUUUAAUACACUAAAUGCAUAUUUCUUGUGAUUAACAGAACAGGGAAAACACUGAUAUUUUGAAAUGGCACUGGAAGCAAGAAAAGCAAAUAGUGUAUGAGCCUUCAGUGCAGACAGUGAAGCAUACCUUAGACCCAGGUCAAGAACAGCACUUAAAAAGAAACCAAAACAAACCAGUCAUCUUCUCUCCAGCAUGUUUCUGAGUUUGGUGAGGGUUUCCCUGAAGUGGAUUUUAAGUAUCAAGCUAGAAUAUGUUUCUCACCUUAGUAGGGAGUGGUGUAAUACCUUGAUAGCAGACAUGGGCAAUUUCUCAGUUUCUUUGUAGUAGUGAUACAUGCAAGCAGUCUUACUGACAAAUUGAGUUCUGAGUCAAGUGAUAAAAGUGUAUCAGAGGACCAGUGAAAUGUAUUUCAGAAAGAAUCAGCAGGAAAAAUGUCUAAAUAGUAUGAUAAUAAUAUACCUAGAGCAUGCCAGACUGAAAUAUAAAUACUAGAUGGUGUAUUAUAUAUCAUCUGUCAUAGUUCAAUCAAAUUUUUAAAAAUAACUACAUUUUUCAUUAAAGAUGGUGUCUGAGUAAUGAAAUCUCUCAGAAGAUAUUAAAUAUUAAAAAUUAAAUGCAAAA
Molecule: long non-coding RNA, 8868 nt
Organism: Passer domesticus (house sparrow)
Lineage: Eukaryota; Metazoa; Chordata; Aves; Passeriformes; Passeridae
Exons: 2
Source: RefSeq, a predicted model, not a curated record